UACUACUUCUAUAUGAGAAGUACCAACUAUGUUGAUUUUUUUUUAGUUCAUCAAUUUUCAGCAUUUUUUUUACAUUGCAGCAGCUGAUUUAGUGAAGUGGUUUGCUGCAAAUAUAUUUAAACCUAGAGAUGAGGCAAGGAGCGAUGCAUUGUGGGAAUUAGAAAAAUAUAAUCAUCUUGAGCAUCCAAAGAUUGUGCAAUACACUAUGUUGGAACAUUCCAUAUGGAAGGCAGUGGAUAUUCAUUCUCAAAUUAUGUACAGGGGUACGCUGGUCCAGUUCAUCAGAUGAUAUGAUUAAUGUUAUAGAGUAUGUGUCCCAGAUUCGUCCAGCAAGUUCUAAGCAUCACAGUAUAUGCAUAGCCUAGGGAUCAUGUAUGAGGUGCUCUAACGAGCAAGAAAUAAGUUUUCAAUAAUCAUUUACAGUGGACGGCAGGUUUGUGAAACAACAUAAAAAAAAUCUUGCUGUUACUGUAGCACGUUAAAAAUAAUCUAAAUAGUUACCAUUAUACAAAUUGCUCUAUGUAUAGGCUAGUUUUAAAUAUAGAAAAAUGGUACAGAUGUCAACUUUAAAGAGAUUUAGUUUGUGUUCAAUUAUCUUUAAAAUAUUAUUAGCUUUAUAUUCUAUUAUAGAUUAAUUAAUACCUAUUUUCACACUAAAACCCCACUUGAAGUGAUCGUGUGGUCCAUGACAUUACCCAAGACAAU
Long non-coding RNA from Anneissia japonica, 705 nucleotides. RefSeq lists it as uncharacterized. The record is from RefSeq and is a predicted model, not a curated record. The transcript has 3 exons. Lineage: Eukaryota; Metazoa; Echinodermata; Crinoidea; Comatulida; Comatulidae.